GGCUCAGGAUGAACGCUAGCUACAGGCUUAACACAUGCAAGUCGAGGGAAACGACAUCGAAGCUUGCUUUUGAUGGGCGUCGACCGGCGCACGGGUGAGUAACGCGUAUCCAACCUGCCCACCACUUGGGGAUAACCUUGCGAAAGUAAGACUAAUACCCGAUGAUAUCCCUAGAAGACAUCUGAAAGGGAUUAAAGAUUUAUCGGUGAUGGAUGGGGAUGCGUCUGAUUAGCUUGUUGGCGGGUAACGGCCCACCAAGGCAACGAUCAGUAGGGGUUCUGAGAGGAAGGUCCCCCACAUUGGAACUGAGACACGGUCCAAACUCCUACGGGAGGCAGCAGUGAGGAAUAUUGGUCAAUGGACGAAAGUCUGAACCAGCCAUGCCGCGUGAAGGAAUAAGGCCCUAUGGGUCGUAAACUUCUUUUGUAUGUGAGCAAUAAGGUCCACGCGUGGUCCGAUGAGAGUAGCAUACGAAUAAGCAUCGGCUAACUCCGUG
Molecule: ribosomal RNA, 496 nt
Filed under: uncultured bacterium
Lineage: Bacteria
Description: bacterial SSU rRNA
Rfam family: Bacterial small subunit ribosomal RNA
Source: RNAcentral